RNAcentral lists this ribosomal RNA (514 nucleotides) under uncultured bacterium. RNAcentral describes it as "partial 16S ribosomal RNA". It matches the Rfam family "Bacterial small subunit ribosomal RNA", at positions 28 to 523 of the family's 1533-position model. The record is from RNAcentral.
GACGAACGCUGGCGGCGUGCCUAACACAUGCAAGUCGAACGGGGAGUUAUUUAUAACUCCUAGUGGCGAACGGGUGAGUAACGCGUAGACAACCUGCCUCUAAAUUGGGGACAACACCGCGAAAGUGGUGCUAAUACCGAAUGUGGUAACUUGGUCGCAUGACUAGGUCAAGAAAGAUGGCCUCUAUAUAUAAGCUAUCGAUUAGAGAUGGGUCUGCGUCUGAUUAGCUAGUUGGUGAGGUAAUGGCUCACCAAGGCGACGAUCAGUAGCCGGUCUGAGAGGAUGAACAGCCACACUGGGACUGGGACACGGCCCAGACUCCUACGGGAGGCAGCAGUGGGGAAUCUUCCGCAAUGGACGAAAGUCUGACGGAGCAACGCCGCGUGAGUGAAGAAGGUCUUCGGAUUGUAAAGCUCUGUCGUUUGGGACGAACGUGGAUUGUGUGAAUAAUGCAGUCUAAUGACGGUACCAAAGGAGGAAGCCACGGCUAACUACGUGCCAGCCGCCGCCGUAA